UUUGAAGAACAAUGGCUCGGAAGAGUUUGUCAUAGGCUCCAGAAGGGAUGACGGAAAGGUGUAUGCAGGCUGUGGCUCCUGGAUUAAUGAAAAAGCCUGGGGAUGUUUCUUCAGCGCUUCAACAGACUCUAUGUUCUGUAGAAGUGCUGCUACUGUAUUUUAGACUCCCGAACAAUUGAAAACCAGGAGUGUCACUGGAACACUUUCGAACAAGGCACGGCAUCUCAGCUACACUGAGGCAAAGCCAGCGCUGACACCAGAGAAAGUAUCUUCUCUAAAGGCAUUGUUCGCCAUCUACAUGGGUGACAUGCCAAAGGAGGUGUCGGACAAGAGAAUGAAGGCGGCCGAAAACACUUGUCGCAGAAGCUCGGCGAUAUGCAGCGGCGCCGAAUUCUGCGAAUGCAUGUUGAAAUAAACUAGCUUGAGCCUUCAGGUUCCACACGUCGCAUCAAUGCCUACUCUCGUGCUAUGCUGAACAUAAGCUGUGAUGUCCUGCAACUUUGUUGCCUUUUUGACUUUCUUGUUGCAGCUCGCAAAGAAAGAGUAAUAGGGCACUAACAAGAUGACAUAGGAUGGGACAAGC
Dermacentor silvarum is the source of this 583-nucleotide long non-coding RNA. RefSeq lists it as uncharacterized. The transcript is spliced from 3 exons. NCBI's taxonomy places the organism in Eukaryota, Metazoa, Arthropoda, Arachnida, Ixodida, Ixodidae. The record is from RefSeq and is a predicted model, not a curated record.